Molecule: ribosomal RNA, 393 nt
Filed under: uncultured bacterium
Lineage: Bacteria
Description: partial 16S ribosomal RNA
Rfam family: Bacterial small subunit ribosomal RNA
Source: RNAcentral
CCUACGGGUGGCAGCAGUGGGGAAUAUUGCGCAAUGGGCGAAAGCCUGACGCAGCGACGCCGCGUGAGGGAUGAAGGUCUUCGGAUCGUAAACCUCUGUCAUCAGGGAAGAACGGUCACUGUGCUAAUCAGCAGUGAAUUGACGGUACCUGCAAAGGAAGCACCGGCUAACUCCGUGCCAGCAGCCGCGGGAAUACGGGGGGUGCGGGAGUUAAUCGGAAUUACUGGGCGUAAAGCGCUCGUAGGCGGUAUGUCAAGUCAGCGGUAAAAUCGCGGGGCUAAACCUCGCUCCGCCGUUGAAACUGGCGGUCUUGAGUGGUCGAGAAGUAUGCGGAAUGCGCGGUGUAGCGGUGAAAUGCAUAGAUAUCACGAAGAACUCCGAUGGCGAAGGCGG